Molecule: small nucleolar RNA, 103 nt
Filed under: Macleaya cordata
Lineage: Eukaryota; Viridiplantae; Streptophyta; Magnoliopsida; Ranunculales; Papaveraceae
Description: Small nucleolar RNA Z266
Rfam family: Small nucleolar RNA Z266
About the family: Z266 is a member of the C/D class of snoRNA which contain the C (UGAUGA) and D (CUGA) box motifs. Most of the members of the box C/D family function in directing site-specific 2'-O-methylation of substrate RNAs.
Source: Rfam by way of RNAcentral
UGUAGCAAAAGGAUGAUGAUUCAAUUAGAUGUGUGAAAGAGAGAAUUCUCUCUAUAAUGAACUUGAUCUUUUUGAGUCAGUUUCACAGACUGACUUUGCUACC